This 689-nucleotide long non-coding RNA is filed under the name Citrus x clementina. Its description in RNAcentral is "Citrus clementina (C. clementina) long non-coding RNA (CCLE_LNC006742)". Lineage: Eukaryota; Viridiplantae; Streptophyta; Magnoliopsida; Sapindales; Rutaceae. The record is from RNAcentral.
AAUUAAUUAAAUUUUUUUUUUUUGAAUUAGAGUAGCUAUGAAAAUAAAUUUGUUGUGAUAUUUUUGGCACGCCACUCAUCAUAGUGAGGGUCACGCACAUGUCACGCGUGGGGAACCUGCUUAUCCCACACGUGGGCCAAUUUUAACAUUGUGUCGGGUCUGUCAUUUGACCACGUGUUUUACAUCAACUUGCUAGAUAUCGAGGGUCCCCUACGAGUAAGUUGAUCAUUAUCUGAUGAAACUUUUGUCCAAGUGCUGUCACUGCCACCCUGCUCCUUUGCAUGCAUGCCCCUUGAAAGGGCAAAAAUGUAAAUUGCUGAAUUUUUUUCUAAUUUUUUGGUCAUAAAUAUAAUAAUACCUAGACUGUGACUACAUAAUUCUAGAGAUAUUGUUCUCGCUGCUUAAGCCUUAACAGUGUUGUCAAAUAAUUGAAUUUUAUUAGCUUUCUCAUUAUUUGACAAUAUCAAAAUUAUAAGGUACAUUAGGCUUGUUUGAGAUUAUUUUUGAAAGGUUUAAAAGUAAUUUUAAAAAAUUAAAAGUUAAUUUUAAUAUUUAUUAACUUUUUUUUUUAUAAAUCACUUUUAAUAAAAUUACACUGACUUUAGAUUUUGAAAAGUAAAGAAAGAAUAACUUUUCAAAAUCUAAUUUUAAGAAUCACUUUUAUAAUACAAUCCAUAUAUCCUCUCACA